AACAGCACUCUAAGUGGUCACCCAUGGACCGUGAGUGGGGCUCGCCCGUACCCAUUAGAUCUAACCUUUGUUCCUUGGUCCUCAAAAGGAUUAAUGGCACCUCAGUUACAGCCUAUGCUCACAUGAUCUAAGAGUUCAUUCCAUAACUUAAUCAUACCUAAGUUUGACAUGUAUUUCCCCCCGAAAGUUGUAAACCGAAACGUUGAAAGAAAAGGGGGGACAUGAUCUCACUGAGUUGUCUCGUUUUUCGUACGCAGGCCAACCCAGUCCCGUUGUUGUAACUAGGACAUUCUCGUCUCUAGUCAUGAAAAUCAUGCACUUGAAAGCGUUGUCAAAUUUGUAAAUACAUGUAUUAUGAGUUUGCGUCAAAUGUAUAUUAAAAACAUUUGAAAGUUUUAGUGUUGUAAGUUGGUAUGAAAAGCGUCUAUGAACAUGUUGAUCAUUAAUGUUUCGCGAGGACAUUAAUAUAUGCGACGACAUAGGAGGUACUCAACCCGCGUAGGCAAUUUUUAGUGUCGAAUAACCUCGACUGGGACACAACAGCACUCUAAGUGGUCACCCAUGGACCGUGAGUGGGGCUCGCCCGUACCCAUUAGAUCUAACCUUUGUUCCUUGGUCCUCAAAAGGAUUAAUGGCACCUCAGUUACAGCCUAUGCUCACAUGAUCUAAGAGUUCAUUCCAUAACUUAAUCAUACCUAAGUUUGACAUGUAUUUCCCCCCGAAAGUUGUAAACCGAAACGUUGAAAGAAAAGGGGGGACAUGAUCUCACUGAGUUGUCUCGUUUUUCGUACGCAGGCCAACCCAGUCCCGUUGUUGUAACUAGGACAUUCUCGUCUCUAGUCAUGAAAAUCAUGCACGUUUGCGAAAAUACGCGUUUGUUUUGUAAAACCGGUAUGUUUAGUA
This 903-nucleotide long non-coding RNA is filed under the name Helianthus annuus (common sunflower). Its description in RNAcentral is "sRNA HanXRQr2_Chr04g0160431". The record is from RNAcentral. Lineage: Eukaryota; Viridiplantae; Streptophyta; Magnoliopsida; Asterales; Asteraceae.